UUGCUACAUUAAUAUCAUGUCCAGAACUAAUUCUUUCCCUAGGUCUGGUUUUGUAAAUGCUGGUGAUAAAC
RNAcentral lists this small nucleolar RNA (71 nucleotides) under Sorex araneus (European shrew). RNAcentral's name for it is "Small nucleolar RNA SNORA72 (ENSSARG00000018634.1)". It matches the Rfam family "Small nucleolar RNA SNORA72", at positions 54 to 132 of the family's 132-position model. From Rfam's summary of the family: U72 is a member of the H/ACA class of snoRNAs. The snoRNA gene is located in intron 4 of the ribosomal L30 protein gene in human, mouse and chicken. Lineage: Eukaryota; Metazoa; Chordata; Mammalia; Eulipotyphla; Soricidae. The record is from RNAcentral.